Molecule: RNA transcript, 4282 nt
Organism: Scylla paramamosain (green mud crab)
Lineage: Eukaryota; Metazoa; Arthropoda; Malacostraca; Decapoda; Portunidae
Gene name: leucine-rich PPR motif-containing protein, mitochondrial-like
Exons: 18
Source: RefSeq, a predicted model, not a curated record
AUCAUGAUGAUCAAUGUUCUAUGCAUCUUUACGCACAUGGGAUUUACUACAGCAAUAUUUUAGCUCUCUUUCCUACAGUUAGAUGAGCAGCAACGAUAUCUAGCGGUUUAGUUCCGAAAACUCCCCAUUAUUUAGUCCAUUUCGGUAGAUUUUUUUUGCUCCAUUUCGGUGCAUAUUGGUAGUUGGUUGCAUUUCGGUCCAUUCGGUAGUUUUUGGCUGUAUUUCGGUGCAUUUCGGUAAUUUUUUACUGCAUUUCGGUAAAUUUCGGUAGUCUUUGGUUGCAUUUUGUUACAUUUCCGUAGUUUUUGGCUGCAUUUCGAUAUUAGGCAUGACCCUUUCAGACCUUGCUUGUUUUGCUCGCUUUUUGGAGGAUAGUAUAGGUGGGGUGAAAGAAGAGUUAAAAGUGGAAGUCUAGUGUAGUCUUGCUGUUCAACCCUUUCAGACCAUUGCGGACGCCCCAUAUUUAUGCGCUUUCGGUCUGAAUCAGCUGAGGAGCAUGUAGAUAUGUUAUUCUGUAUACUUCUUUCCUUGCUGUUUCCUCCUCCAACAGGUCAGAAAGUGUGCCGUAUUCUAAAACGCUGCUCUCUCACCACGACUAUUUUCUAAGGCUACAGAGAUUAUUAGUGAGGGAUCACCACCACCACCACCCUGAUAAUAAUCUUAGUAGCUAGAAAUAGUUCUUAUGAUACAAUAGUUUCAAAAUUCCGGUACCAUGGAACAAAAUCUGGCGUGGACAGACGCACCAAAAUUUGUUUCAUGCCACCUUUGUUUCGUGACAUCGGUUCACAGCUGAUACCACAACCACCAUCAUCAGCAACAGUACCACCACCAUCAAUAUUUCUACAUAACCACCAUCACUAUCAUCACCACCACCACCACCACCACCAAGGAUUCUACAUACCACCACCACCACCAUCACUAUCAUCAUCAUCAACAGCAGCGGCAUGGCCGAAGUAAACAAUCCGUGGUGAUGCUGGCCGGUAUGGGUAGAGUGGCUGGCUUGGGCCGGAUGGCGGUGUUCCUGAUGGGCCAGGGACAUGUCAGGCUCGUCAUGCUCCCCGGCCUGCGCCUCGGUGUGCCCUCUCGUCACUCCACCUGCAGGGGCGCAGCUGUGGGGCAGGACGGCAGGAUGGACAGGAUUAUACACAGACCUCUAACCAGUGUGGCUCUGUCUGCAGUAUUAGCCCAGCAGGGCAGGCUGCUUGUCCCUCGCCACACUGGUUUGAGUGAAAACAUGAAAACCUUCUCAGACCUGAACAGCACUUCAACUAAAAUGUCACAAGUGGAGAUAAGCCUGCAGGAGUUGAGGAUGAAGCUGGAGAGGUUAGGCAGUCUGAAGCUGAAUGACAUCAACCAGGCAGUGAAGUCCUUGGAGCAGUGCGUGGAGGAGCUCUCUGAUGCAGACUGUCUCCAGCUCCUCCAGUUUUGCUGCAGAAUGACUGAAGAAGAGUACCGGCCAUGUGGUUCCCUCAUCCACCGGGUGUGGCGUCUCACCACCGACAGACCAAGUGGGAAUGUGAAUGUGGAGCAUCUGGAGCUGUACCUUCGCCUGUGUCUCUCAGUGGAGUCAACCAGCAUCUCAAAAAGGGACAUCUUCGAGCAGCUAGAAAGGCACUGCAUAGAGCCGAGUGCCCAUGUGUUUGAGGUGCUAAUGAUGGCUCUGGGGCAGCGCGGCCACUUGGAGGGAGCCUUGCAAGUGCUGACCAUGAUGAAGGAGCAUGGUGUUGCUGUGAGAGAAGCUACCUUUGCUGCCCUCAUCCUGGCCUAUGGUGCUGAAAAUGACUGGGAGGGUGUAGAGGGAGUACUAGACACCAUGAGAAGUGUCCAAGUGUCCCAGUCAGAGGUGACCUUUGGAGCACUAGCCAUUGUGUGUGGUACUCAGGGGCAGGUGCUGAGAGUGAGGCAAGUGGUCACCCAGGCAUGGCAGAGAGGUGUGGCCCUGUCCAGUACUCAGCUAGAGGCAGUGCUGUUUGCCCUCAUCAGGAAUGGCCAUGCUGGGGAUUCCUAUGAGAAUAUUGACUUUGUUCUGCAGUUGAUUCAGGAGAGUGGGAUGAAGGCUGACAUAUCCCACUUGGCUCUGCGCCUCAUCCACUGUGGCCGGGUGAAGGAAGCGGUCCACCUGGUCCUUUCCCUUCCUUUCCUGCGCACCAAUAACCACCUUUAUUCCAACGCUGCCAUCUACUUGCGUGAGAUUGUCCACACACGAACAGCCCCAGGUGUGGUGGUGGAUUUGUGCCACCACCUGCAGGAGGAAGGCAUCAACCAGUUCGCCCUGCAGGUAGCCCUGGAGCACGCCUUGAGGGAGCGAUGGGAGGAGCUGGCCUGGGUGCUGCUGAAGGCCAUGAAGGAUGCUGGCCUGCCCCUUAGGGAACACUAUUUCUGGCCACUCCUCCACCUCAAGGCCAUUGCCCAGGAACCUGCCCAAUUGUUAGAGUGUGUGCAGCUAAUGCUUCAGCUUGGGGAAGCUCCAAGCCUUGUGACUCUGCGUGACCACAUCAUUCCUGGCCUGAGCCUGAGCCAGCCACACCUUGCUCUACAGAUGCUGCAGAACACAGGGCUCUCAGCCACUGCUGCUGCCACACCACUGCUCAUGGUGCUGGUCAAAAACAACAUGAUGGAACAGGCCAUCAAGUUUGUGAAGGAGACCAAAGUGCCGCUUAAUGUAGGGGACACUCUGAGCACUCUGGCUCCAGCAUGGCACUCCAAUCCAAAGUCCAUCAUUUCCCUUCUUGCUCUCCUCAUGCACCACGGCCAGGAGCCAUCGAGCAAGAACACAGAUGACUGGGGUGGGCAGUUCCUUCUCAGCUUGGUGGCCACAAGGGCAGGUCUUGCUGUUCAUCACAUCCACCCUCUCUUCCAGGAGCUGAGGAAACACGGGAUUGGUGUGUCAGAGCACUCAGCAGACCUUCUUGUGAACCAAUUGAGCCAGCCACUGCAGAAGGCAGUGAAGGACAACCUAUCCCUUGUGCUGCAGCCUGCCCUGGAUCAACCUCCUCAGCAGAGCAUCUCAGAGCAGCUCCAUCAGCAGCAUCACAGCACCCUUCCCCACCCACGCAAUAUGAAUGAGGGUGAGCUUGAGGGACACCUUGAGGAGCUGCGUGCAAAGGGACUCAACAUCCGAGGGUCCCUGCGCCGCCUGCUGCUCCUCCGUGCCUCCAGGAAUGACACAGCUGGGGUGCUGGAGCUCAUGAGGAGUGCCUCUAAGGAUGGGCAGCAGCUGAGUGCUGGCAUGUUGUCUGGUGUUCUCAUGGCUUAUGUAGACAACAACAACACCAAGGCUGCCCUGGACAUGUAUUCCCUGCUUGGCACCAAACACCCAAGCUUCAAGGUGGACUCUUACAAGGUGGUGGACCUUUGCACCCUCCUCACCCAGAGUGGCAAGGCUACAGAGGCAAAUGAGAUCCUUCAGGAGUAUAUCAUGAAGACUGAUGGGAAAAAUGUUAACACUAGACAGAUACUGAGGAACUGCAGGAACUUGCUCUUGGCAUCAGCCAGCACCAGUAGUCCUCAGGAGACGGACAAAUUAUUCAGUCUGUUGCUGCAGGGGGGCCUGGUGGAGCCUGACACUGUGACUCUUGGCGUGCUGAUUAAGAGCAGACUCAACAGGGGUGACUUGGCAGGAGCAAUAGAGAUGGCUAAGAAGGUGCAGCAGCAGUACAGUUGUCUUCCCAUGCGGCGAGAGUUGCUCAUUCACCUCAUCAACCACCACUAUGGAAACAAGAUCUGCUGCAGGACAUGCUGGACCUCAUUGCCAAUGUGAAGGGACCACUGGUGGCUCGGCAUGACUUGCUGUUCGCCUACCUAGAGGCUGGCCAACCAGCUGAGGCCAGAACAGUGCUCAGGAACCUAGCAAGAUAUCUUGACCAGCGUCAGCUGACUCGACAGCUGCAGUAUUAUGUCAAGACAGAGAACAAGGAGGCUGUGGUGCAUCUGCUCACUGCCUCACGGGGGCUGCACAACACUGACCGCCAGGCAGUGUAUGAAUCCCUCCUCGAUAUCUACUACGUGCAGAGUGAGGGCGAGAAGGGGCUGUCCCUGUGGACCUCGAUGCAGGAGGAAGGCCUCACCCCCGCGCCCUCCUUCCUCACCACUCUGGCAGCGCUUCUGGCUGCCUGCAAAAUAAAGAUUCCGUUUCAGAUAUGAGGCAGUGUGUAGAAUGAGAUGAAUAUCCUUCUGCAAAAAACUGUUUGUAAUUGUAAACCUUCGCCUCAGGAAUGUACAUAAUUAAUCUAUUAUAUUGAAUAUAAUGUGUAUAUAUUCAUAGUAAAUUUGAAUUUGUACU